CGGACCAAGGAGUUUAGCGUGUGCGCGAGUCAUUGGGUGGAAAACCUAAAGGCGCAAUGAAAGUGAAGGGGGCCUCUGGCCCCCGAGGGAAGAUGGGCGUCCGUCCUUCGCAGGCGGCGCCCCGCACUCCCGGGGCGUCUCUUUCUCGUUACGAGUGGAGGCGCACCUGUAGCGCACUCGCUGAUACCCGAAAGAUGGUGAACUAUGCCUGGCCAGGACGAAGCCAGGGGAAACCCUGGUGGAGGUCCGCAGCGAUUCUGACGUGCAAAUCGAUCGUCGGAGCUGGGUAUAGGGGCGAAAGACCAAUCGAACCAUCUAGUAGCUGG
This 326-nucleotide ribosomal RNA is filed under the name Cimex adjunctus. RNAcentral's name for it is "partial 28S ribosomal RNA". It matches the Rfam family "Eukaryotic large subunit ribosomal RNA", at positions 662 to 954 of the family's 3401-position model. The record is from RNAcentral. Lineage: Eukaryota; Metazoa; Arthropoda; Insecta; Hemiptera; Cimicidae.